AGUGAACGCUGGCGGCAGGCCUAACACAUGCAAGUCGAACGGCAGCACAAGAGAGCUUGCUCUCUGGGUGGCGAGUGGCGGACGGGUGAGGAAUGCAUCGGAAUCUGCCCAUUUGUGGGGGAUAACCUCGGGAAACCGGGACUAAUACCGCAUACGACCUACGGGUGAAAGCAGGGGAUCUUCGGACCUUGCGCAGAUGGAUGAGCCGAUGCCGGAUUAGCUAGUUGGAGGGGUAAAGGCCCACCAAGGCGACGAUCCGUAGCUGGUCUGAGAGGAUGAUCAGCCACACUGGGACUGAGACACGGCCCAGACUCCUACGGGAGGCAGCAGUGGGGAAUAUUGGACAAUGGGCGCAAGCCUGAUCCAGCCAUGCCGCGUGUGUGAAGAAGGCCUUCGGGUUGUAAAGCACUUUUGUUGGGAAAGAAAAGCAGCCGGUUAAUACCCGGUUGUCAUGACGGUACCCAAAGAAUAGGCACCGGCUAACUUCGUG
This 490-nucleotide ribosomal RNA is filed under the name uncultured bacterium. Its description in RNAcentral is "partial 16S ribosomal RNA". It matches the Rfam family "Bacterial small subunit ribosomal RNA", at positions 29 to 507 of the family's 1533-position model. The record is from RNAcentral.